This 173-nucleotide ribosomal RNA is filed under the name Acantopsis dialuzona. RNAcentral's name for it is "partial 12S rRNA". Lineage: Eukaryota; Metazoa; Chordata; Actinopteri; Cypriniformes; Cobitidae. The record is from RNAcentral.
CACCGCGGUUAUACGAGAGGCCCUAGUUGAUGGACACGGCGUAAAGGGUGGCUAAGGUACAACUAAAAUAAAGCUAAAGGACUUCUUGGCUGUCAUACGCCCCUGAAAACCCGAAAUCCAAAUACGAAAGUAGCUUUAACACAAGCCCACCUGACCCCACGAAAGCUGAGGGA